Molecule: transfer RNA, 84 nt
Filed under: Paludibacteraceae bacterium
Lineage: Bacteria; Pseudomonadati; Bacteroidota; Bacteroidia; Bacteroidales; Paludibacteraceae
Also listed under: 1 other name
Description: tRNA-Leu
Rfam family: tRNA
About the family: Transfer RNA (tRNA) molecules are approximately 80 nucleotides in length.
Source: RNAcentral
GCCCAAGUGGCGAAAUUGGUAGACGCGCUAGUUUCAGGUACUAGUGACUUCGCGGUCUUGCAGGUUCGAGUCCUGUCUUGGGCA